UACGGGGGGGGGCAAGCGUUGUUCGGAAUUACUGGGCGUAAAGGGCUCGUAGGUGGCCAACUAAGUCAGACGUGAAAUCCCUCGGCUUAACCGGGGAACUGCGUCUGAUACUGGAUGGCUUGAGUUUGGGAGAGGGACGCGGAAUUCCAGGUGUAGCGGUGAAAUGCGUAGAUAUCUGGAGGAACACCAGGUGGCGAAGGCGGCGUCCUAGGCCAUCAGAGCCAUGAG
RNAcentral lists this ribosomal RNA (228 nucleotides) under uncultured bacterium. RNAcentral describes it as "partial 16S ribosomal RNA". It matches the Rfam family "Bacterial small subunit ribosomal RNA", at positions 524 to 753 of the family's 1533-position model. The record is from RNAcentral.